AGCAGUCGCCGCGGUAAUACGUAGGUGGCGAGCGUUGUCCGGAAUUAUUGGGCGUAAAGGGAGCGCAGGCGGACAUAUAAGUCCAUCUUAAAAGUGCGGGGCUCAACCCCGUGAGGGGAUGGAAACUGUAUGCCUUGAGUGCAGGAGAGGAAAGCGGAAUUCCCAGUGUAGCGGUGAAAUGCGUAGAUAUUGGGAGGAACACCAGUGGCGAAGGCGGCUUUCUGGACUGUAACUGACGCUGAGGCUCGAAAGCCAGGGGAGCGAACGGGAUUAGAUACCCCUGUAGUCCCUGUCUCUUAUACA
This 303-nucleotide ribosomal RNA is filed under the name uncultured bacterium. RNAcentral's name for it is "partial 16S ribosomal RNA". It matches the Rfam family "Bacterial small subunit ribosomal RNA", at positions 507 to 809 of the family's 1533-position model. The record is from RNAcentral.